Small nucleolar RNA from Aspergillus brasiliensis CBS 101740, 98 nucleotides. The record is from Rfam. NCBI's taxonomy places the organism in Eukaryota, Fungi, Ascomycota, Eurotiomycetes, Eurotiales, Aspergillaceae.
UUACAUGAUGAAUCUUGUUAUUCACACUGUUUGAUCCUGCACGCCAUGUGUUUGGAAAUGAACAUGUUUACAAAAAAUCUGAUUUAAUGAGGUUGGUA